GGUAUCAUACCCGACGGGAACGGAUACACCCAAUAAGGUCAAAAAAUAGGAUACCUUGAAGUGCCAAAGGCAACUCCCCAUCAUCAAUCCACAAGGUGCCUCCGGAAUGACAAGCUACAUACGCAGCUACCCAAUCCGCGGCGCCGUUACCUUCACGGUAAAUAUGCUUGGCCUGAAAGGCCCAUCCAUCCCUCGCCAUAGCCCAAAUGUCACGAAGCAAAGGAAGCCCUUCACAUUUGGCUCAAGCCAACUUAUUGAUUAAAAUUCAGUUUCCUUGAUGGUGGAUAUCGAAUAUUAAUGCAU
This 303-nucleotide long non-coding RNA is filed under the name Phoenix dactylifera (date palm). Its description in RNAcentral is "long non-coding RNA (PDAC_LNC004279)". The record is from RNAcentral. Lineage: Eukaryota; Viridiplantae; Streptophyta; Magnoliopsida; Arecales; Arecaceae.